UAAUACAGAGGUCCCGAGCGUUGUUCGGAUUCACUGGGCGUAAAGGGUGCGUAGGUGGUGGGAUAAGUCGGAUGUGAAAUCUCGGAGCUCAACUCCGAAAAUGCAUUGGAAACUGUCCUGCUAGAGGGUUGGAGGGGGGACUGGAAUACUUGGUGUAGCAGUGAAAUGCGUAGAUAUCAAGUGGAACACCGGUGGCGAAGGCGAGUCCCUGGACAACACCUGACACUGAGGCACGAAAGCUAGGGGAGCAAACAGGAUUAGAUACCCUGGUAGUCCUAGCCGUAAACGGUGCACGUUUGCUGUAAGAGGAAUCGACCCCUUUUGUGGCGAAGCCAACGCGAUAAACGUGCCGCCUGGGGAAGUACGGUCGCAAGAUUAAAACUCAAAGAAAUUGACGGGGGCCUGCACAAGCCGGUGGAGUAUGUGGCUCAAUUCGAUGCCACGCCAAAGAACCUUACCUGGCCUUGACAUGCACGUAGUUAGGAAGAUGAAAAUCCGACGAGGUAGCAAUUCCAGCGUGCACAGGUGCU
This 530-nucleotide ribosomal RNA is filed under the name uncultured bacterium. RNAcentral's name for it is "bacterial SSU rRNA". It matches the Rfam family "Bacterial small subunit ribosomal RNA", at positions 521 to 1042 of the family's 1533-position model. The record is from RNAcentral.